Molecule: long non-coding RNA, 312 nt
Organism: Ixodes scapularis (black-legged tick)
Lineage: Eukaryota; Metazoa; Arthropoda; Arachnida; Ixodida; Ixodidae
Exons: 3
Source: RefSeq, a predicted model, not a curated record
GUGAAAUUUCCACAAGAAAAAGACUGUGUGGCAGCCGUGCCCCUUUCAUGGCUGUCGGAAAAUCGUGCGGUCUGCCACUGGCCAUCAAAAGAUGCAGGCCUGGAUGCUCUGGAACUGGCCAAGCAGGAGGCUUCACCAGGCACUGUGGAGGAAGGGUGGGAGCCCUUUCCAGUUGAUGUACUGGGAACUUCGAGCACCUACCAAAGAGCAGAGAAAAAGCUUACCAAGUGGAUACACACAUGUUCCAUUGAGUCCUCGGAGAUUUCCGACAAUGCAGUACCGGUAGAAAGGAGAGCAGAGGCGACUCAUUCC